This 62-nucleotide ribosomal RNA is filed under the name Maxillaria lankesteri. RNAcentral's name for it is "partial 26S ribosomal RNA". The record is from RNAcentral. Lineage: Eukaryota; Viridiplantae; Streptophyta; Magnoliopsida; Asparagales; Orchidaceae.
GCGACCCCAGGACGGGCGAGGCCACCCGCCGAGUUUAAGCAUAUCAAUUGGCGGAGGAGAAG